GGGCCCGUAGUAUAGCGGUAACACAAGUCUAUGGCAUAGACUAGUCAGGGGUUCGAUUCCCCUCGGGUCCA
RNAcentral lists this transfer RNA (71 nucleotides) under Candidatus Amesiibacteriota bacterium. RNAcentral describes it as "Candidatus Amesbacteria bacterium tRNA-Ala". It matches the Rfam family "tRNA". Rfam says of the family: Transfer RNA (tRNA) molecules are approximately 80 nucleotides in length. Their secondary structure includes four short double-helical elements and three loops (D, anti-codon, and T loops). Further hydrogen bonds mediate the characteristic L-shaped molecular structure. tRNAs have two regions of fundamental functional importance: the anti-codon, which is responsible for specific mRNA codon recognition, and the 3' end, to which the tRNAs corresponding amino acid is attached (by aminoacyl-tRNA synthetases). tRNAs cope with the degeneracy of the genetic code in two manners: having more than one tRNA (with a specific anti-codon) for a particular amino acid; and 'wobble' base-pairing, i.e. permitting non-standard base-pairing at the 3rd anti-codon position. Lineage: Bacteria; Candidatus Amesiibacteriota. The record is from RNAcentral.